This 337-nucleotide long non-coding RNA is filed under the name Elaeis guineensis (African oil palm). Its description in RNAcentral is "long non-coding RNA (EGUI_LNC064806)". Lineage: Eukaryota; Viridiplantae; Streptophyta; Magnoliopsida; Arecales; Arecaceae. The record is from RNAcentral.
GCACCCAAAUGGUUUCCGCAAGCUCCCUCGUGUACUUCCCAUAAAGCAUAGUCAGCUUUCGAGGGCCGGAGGCACCUUAAGAGGGGCAAGGAGUAUGAUCUUUUGUAUAAUUUGCCCUCAUAAAGGAUGUACCGGGAGGCUUGAUUUCGGAGCUUCCGAGCCUCCUUCGCAUCCCGGGGAAGAACUCCAUCUCUAAGAUAGGUCAUCAGCGGGUCGACCCAGCUGGGCUCGUGGUCGAUCUCCAUUACGGGCCGUGGGUCUUCUAUACUCAGAUGUUUUAGAACUUCAAAGAGGAUGCCUUUGGGCAAUUCGGCCGGAGCUGAUGUCGCCAGCUUGG